Molecule: ribosomal RNA, 198 nt
Filed under: uncultured bacterium
Lineage: Bacteria
Description: partial 16S ribosomal RNA
Rfam family: Bacterial small subunit ribosomal RNA
Source: RNAcentral
ACGCUCGACACCUACGAGAGGCAGCAGUGGGGAAUAUUGCACAAUGGGGGAAACCCUGAUGCAGCGACGCCGCGUGAGCGAAGAAGUAUUUCGGUAUGUAAAGCUCUAUCAGCAGGGAAGAAAGUGACGGUACCUGACUAAGAAGCACCGGCUAAAUACGUGCCAGCAGCCGCGGUAAUCUGAGCGGGCUGGCAAGGC